GACGCUUUGUCUUUAACUGAUCUGACGAGCUUGCUCUGAUGUGAUUUUAUCUGACAAAGAGUGGCGAACGGGUGAGUAACACGUGGGUAACCUACCUCUUAGCAGGGGAUAACAUUUGGAAACAAGUGCUAAUACCGUAUAAUACCAACAACCGCAUGGUUGUUGGUUGAAAGAUGGUUCUGCUAUCACUAAGAGAUGGACCCGCGGUGCAUUAGCUAGUUGGUAAGGUAACGGCUUACCAAGGCAAUGAUGCAUAGCCGAGUUGAGAGACUGAUCGGCCACAAUGGGACUGAGACACGGCCCAUACUCCUACGGGAGGCAGCAGUAGGGAAUCUUCCACAAUGGGCGCAAGCCUGAUGGAGCAACGCCGCGUGUGUGAUGAAGGGUUUCGGCUCGUAAAACACUGUUAUAAGAGAAGAACGGCACUGAGAGUAACUGUUCAGUGUGUGACGGUAUCUUACCAGAAAGGAACGGCUAAAUACGUGCCAGCAGCCGCGGUAAUACGUAUGUUCCAAGCGUUAUCCGGAUUUAUUGGGCGUAAAGCGAGCGCAGACGGUUAUUUAAGUCUGAAGUGAAAGCCCUCAGCUCAACUGAGGAAUGGCUUUGGAAACUGGAUGACUUGAGUGCAGUAGAGGAAAGUGGAACUCCAUGUGUAGCGGUGAAAUGCGUAG
RNAcentral lists this ribosomal RNA (671 nucleotides) under Weissella hellenica. RNAcentral describes it as "bacterial SSU rRNA". It matches the Rfam family "Bacterial small subunit ribosomal RNA", at positions 38 to 693 of the family's 1533-position model. The record is from RNAcentral. Lineage: Bacteria; Bacillati; Bacillota; Bacilli; Lactobacillales; Lactobacillaceae.